CCUACGGGGGGCAGCAGUGGGGGAUAUUGCACAAUGGAGGAAACUCUGAUGCAGCGACGCCGCGUGAGGGAAGACGGUUUUCGGAUUGUAAACCUCUGUCAUCGGGGAAGAAAAUGACGGUACCUAAAGAGGAAGCCCCGGCUAACUACGUGCCAGCAGCCGCGGUAAUACGUGGGGGGCAAGCGUUAUCCGGAUUUACUGGGUGUAAAGGGAACGUAGACGGCAGUGCAAGUCUGGAGUGAAAGGCGGGGCUCAACCCCCGGACCGCUCUGGAAACUGUGCGGCUGGAGUGCAGGAGAGGUAAGUGGAAUUCCUAGUGUAGCGGUGAAAUGCGUAGAUAUUAGGAGGAACACCAGUGGCGAAGGCGGCUUACUGGACUGUAACUGACGUUGAGGCUCGAAAGCGUGGGGAGCAAACAGGAUUAGAUACCCGAGUAGUC
RNAcentral lists this ribosomal RNA (439 nucleotides) under uncultured bacterium. Its description in RNAcentral is "partial 16S ribosomal RNA". It matches the Rfam family "Bacterial small subunit ribosomal RNA", at positions 338 to 795 of the family's 1533-position model. The record is from RNAcentral.